UCUUCCAAAAAAAUCCACUCGUCUCCUAAACCAAGUCUCCUCUGGGUCUAUGAAUUCCCUUCUUCAUGAGUAGGAUCCAAAACCACCACCACCAACAACGAAGCUUAUUCAAAUAUAACACCAGGAAGAGAACCAGAUGGUGAAGAGUCCACAAAAAUCCGCCAUGUAUAUUGCCAGAGGGUUCUCAGAUCAAGGUUGGAGACUUCUCUUGUUACUAGUUCCUCCUCUUUCUCUCACUGUUUUUAUCUGUGUAUACGCUACACCCCUUAGUACUUUUUCCACUUUCGCCCCUCUCGCUUCCUUUUUCUUCAACAGGACCGUCAAUUCCACCACUUCAGCUGAUGAUCCUUGUGUGUUGCCAUUGAAUCGAAGCCAGCCAGUGGGGGUGAGGUCGUGGAAGGAUGAAUUGUACCGAUCAAGAAUGGCGGUUUGUUUGGUCGGUGGGGCUCGUAGAUUUGAGCUUACUGGACCAUCGAUUGUGGAGAAUAUUCUAAAUUUGUAUCCAAACUCAGACCUCUUUUUGCACAGUCCUUUAGACAAAAAUGCAUUCAAGUUCUCGCUCUUGAAAGUCGCCCCCAGAAUCGCAACCGUCCGCAUCUUUCAGCCCAAACCCAUACCGGAAACAGAGGCUGAGGUCCGAGUUCUGACCGCCGCGAAUUCCCCAA
Molecule: unclassified non-coding RNA, 665 nt
Filed under: Hevea brasiliensis (rubber tree)
Lineage: Eukaryota; Viridiplantae; Streptophyta; Magnoliopsida; Malpighiales; Euphorbiaceae
Source: RNAcentral